Molecule: transfer RNA, 73 nt
Filed under: Camelus bactrianus (Bactrian camel)
Lineage: Eukaryota; Metazoa; Chordata; Mammalia; Artiodactyla; Camelidae
Also listed under: 3 other names
Rfam family: tRNA
About the family: Transfer RNA (tRNA) molecules are approximately 80 nucleotides in length. Their secondary structure includes four short double-helical elements and three loops (D, anti-codon, and T loops).
Source: Rfam by way of RNAcentral
AGGGGCAUAGCUCAGAGGUAAAGCAUAUGCUUAGCAUGCAUCAAGAUCCUGGAUUCAAUCCCCAGUACCUCCA